CUCAAAAUUAUCUUCUUUUGCAUCUAUAGCUUGAUGGAUAAUUUUGAUUUGAUCAUUGAAAAAUUGUUCUUGGAAAUUCAUCUGAAAAAGAAUGCAUUAUCACAGAAAUACAACAGUAAGAAAUUGAAACUGAUGCAGAAGUACAAAACAGGAGGAUAAGAAAAGAGAGGAAAACCUGGCUUGUUCUUCCUACUGAAUUGGUGAAAAUUAAUUAAACUUUAUGAGUUCCUGAUUCUGAUUAAUUUCUAAUCUGAAGGAUUUUCAGUGUAAAACAUGGCUUAUACUAACUCUAAUGGCAAUAAUUUCCUUCAAACUAGGCAAGGACUAGGCCUAACUUUUACAUUAUACCAAGCAGACCUAGGAAUGACUAUUUUUGAUGAAACUAAGAUUUUGUGAUAAUGUGAAAUUUUACAAGACUUCAAAUUCAACCACCUCUUAGAGGAUAACCCGGCAAUGGCCCAAGUAUAUGUAAAAGUUAAGGGGGCAGUGCUUUAAUCAUCAAAGUUUAUCAUGGGUAAUACUGCAUUGCAUGAGAGUUCACUAAGAUAUAUGCAAAUAUUAAAGCAAAUAAUAAUUUAAUAUAAUGUAGCUCCUGAGUGUGAAAAAUACUCAUAAAUCCACUGCUAAUGCCAGUAUGUAAGACUAUGUCUGCAUAAAUCAUUUGUAAAGUAUAUACACACAUUUCCUUGAAAUACAUUUAAUAUAAAGAAACCAUGAUAACUAACAGUCUCAUAGGUUUCUUGCGUCUAACAAAUCUAUUGAUUAAGCAAAAUACCAGCAUCUAAUGCUGCCUAACAUGUUCUAUGAACCAGAGCAUAUGGUACUAGCGCCUAAAUAGAAGUCACAAUUAGAUCACAACCUCCAUGAACUUUAUUUUGACCUAAAAUGCUGGGUAUUUUAUAAAGGACAAGGUAAUAACAACAGCAAGAUGUAAUUCAGAAAAAUCACCUGUCCUUUGUUUUCUUCAAGCAGCAAUUUAGUUCGCCGUCUCAUGCUGUGAUUCUUUUCUAUAGUCUUACAGAGCUCCUCACUCAAUCUGCUUACAGACUCAGCUAGAACUUUCGAAUGC
RNAcentral lists this unclassified non-coding RNA (1069 nucleotides) under Hevea brasiliensis (rubber tree). The record is from RNAcentral. Lineage: Eukaryota; Viridiplantae; Streptophyta; Magnoliopsida; Malpighiales; Euphorbiaceae.